UGGGCGUGUGUGGGUUGUUGCGACGGUUUUCGUACGGUUUCAAUAAAUUAAGCAGGCAACUCUACUUCUUUAUUAAUGAGAUGAGGCAAAGUUUUUGUCUCAGCUUCAAAAGAAAAUCAUGAUGUUUCUACUAGUUUUGUAAGGGGACCUCCUUUUCGGCCCCUUAAGUGCCCGAACACGUCCCUAGCGCUCACUUGCCCUAUUCGUGGGCCGACCCAAUAAGACGAGCAAUUGACUGAUUGCAUUUGAUGCGUCAUGGUUGAGCCGUUGACUCAUCAUCUAUUGACUUUACAAAGAAUAAAAGAUAAAAC
This 311-nucleotide long non-coding RNA is filed under the name Hordeum vulgare. RNAcentral's name for it is "long non-coding RNA (HVUL_LNC020423)". Lineage: Eukaryota; Viridiplantae; Streptophyta; Magnoliopsida; Poales; Poaceae. The record is from RNAcentral.